UGGGGAAUAUUGCACAAUGGGCGGAAGCCUGAUGUAGCGACGCCGCGUGAGGGAUGACGGCCUUCGGGUUGUAAACCUCUUUCAGUAGGGACGAAGCGUGAGUGACGGUACCUACAGAAGAAGCACCGGCCAACUACGUGCCAGCAGCCGCGGUAAUACGUAGGGUGCGAGCGUUGUCCGGAAUUACUGGGCGUAAAGGGCUCGUAGGCGGUUUGUCGCGUCGAUCGUGAAAACUCGGGGCUCAACCUCGAGCUUGCGGUCGAUACGGGCAGACUUGAGUACUGCAGGGGAGACUGGAAUUCCUGGUGUAGCGGUGAAAUGCGCAGAUAUCAGGAGGAACACCGGUGGCGAAGGCGGGUCUCUGGGCAGUAACUGACGCUGAUGAGCGAAAGCGUGGGUAGCGAACA
Molecule: ribosomal RNA, 407 nt
Filed under: uncultured prokaryote
Description: bacterial SSU rRNA
Rfam family: Bacterial small subunit ribosomal RNA
Source: RNAcentral